CUAUAUCUUUGAAGUAAUUGCGUUUAUUCCUCAACAGGCCUGACGUCCCUUAUCAAGCAUGCAUGUUCGCAAAAAAGUUGGGAUAUUUCAGCGAAAAUGGUCAGGUGUCUAAAAUAACCCUCUACUACUUAAUAAAAGCUUUCAAUUUUCCUUUGUUUUUAAUAUUAUUAAUAUACCCCGCUCAGUUUUCCCUCAUUCGUCACUGUUGAGUGUUAGACAGUUUUAUCCGGCACGAUUCCGGGCUAGUUUAGCACCGAAAGCCUAUACUAAAGAAUAUAUGAUAUAGUAAAGAAUAUAUAUACAACAUCAGAUGAACUAUUCUGCAAAUUAAAGUAAAAAAGGAGUUAAUAUUUGUAACGUGUGUAUUUACGCAAUGAAUUUGCUCUGCGGGCAAAUUAGUUGUAAAUUUAGACAUAGAUUUGCCAUUGAAAUUUCAUAU
Non-coding RNA from Paramuricea clavata, 439 nucleotides. Lineage: Eukaryota; Metazoa; Cnidaria; Anthozoa; Malacalcyonacea; Plexauridae. The record is from the annotation of a GenBank genome assembly.